Molecule: non-coding RNA, 3556 nt
Organism: Kogia breviceps (pygmy sperm whale)
Lineage: Eukaryota; Metazoa; Chordata; Mammalia; Artiodactyla; Physeteridae
Source: RefSeq, a predicted model, not a curated record
UGCGGUCUGUGCAGCCCUGCCGGCUCAGCCCGAGGCGUGAAGGGCCUGAGGCUGGUCGACCUGCCUUCUCUUGGGCUUGAGGCCGGAAGCCCUCCGUGGGCUUAUGAGCCCUGCGGCGGGGGGCGGGGGUCUGGAGGCAGCGUUGCCUGACCUCGGGCUUAACACCCGGAAUCCUGCGUCCCCCCAGGCUCCACCUCCAUUUGGGACACCCGACUGUUUCACCAAGAUGAUGUUGGUACAAUCAGCGAGAUGCAGCACACCACCCUUUGCCUCUGGAAGAGAAGCCAGACUGCAAAGGGGACUGAGUACAGAAGCUAACGGAACUCAGAAGGACAAGACAAAAAAGCGUAAAUGCACCUGACUGGACAAUGCUUGGGGUCCCCUCUGCAGACCCCACGUCUUCAAAAUUUCCAGUUUUCUUUUUCACCGUUGAGAAAAUCCCAGAGUCUCUUGACAACAUGGAAUCCUUCUGUGAAAAUCCGACUGCCCUUCCAUCAGUCUUCAUUGACCCUAUCAGAAAACUUCAACUCAAAUUUAUGAAAAGCAGUCAGUUUCCCUUUGGCCACAGGAAAGCUUGAGAGUGAAGACUGUCAUGUCUGCAAAGUGCUGGCAACACAUUCUGAUCAAGUUUCCAUGAUGCACUUGGUGCCUUAUACACAGUAAAUGACCAAGAAAUGUUUCAUUAAUUGAAUCAGAAAUUAAAUAGAAGUAUUCUAUAAAGUGCUUACAUUGAACCUGUCUUUCCAUCCAGCCUCAUUUCUUGCUAAGUCUCCCUUGAGCCUUUUGCUCAUUACAAUGAAUUACAUGCAGUUCCUUUAAGAUCCCCAUGCUGUUUCAUGCUUCUGUGUCUUAGCUCAGUGUGUCCUCUGCCUGAAGCAGCUUGGACACCCCUACUUAAUUUCUAAGAUUUAGCUUAGGUCCACUUUUCCUACAAUGCCUUUCUUGACCCCAUUCUUACACCUUUGUAAGUUAAUAGUACCCCCAAAAAUAUCUAUUCCUUUUGUUUGUUUGUUUCCAGAUGUCUUCCUCUAAUUGCUACUGUGAGUUCUGUCAGGACAGAAAGCGUUUGACUGACCUGUACAUCUGCAGUACCUGGCACUUAGUUGGUACCUAGCAAAUAGUUUCAGUGGAUGAAUAUAUAUAUUGCAAUCACACAGAACUGGAGGGAUGAAAAGUACUUAUUGCUAUACAUUUAAAUACGAUCUCAUUCCGAGGUUACAGUUUACCUCAAUCUGUUUUAUAUGUAAUCAUGCUAUCAAGAGUAAAUAAAUAAAAUUUUAGUUUUCCCCAUUUCUGGAAGGAUAUUUCUGCCAGUGCUUUCAAAAUUCCAUCAGAAAGAUAGGCCAUAAGAUAGGUAGCAGGUUUGAUACAAUGUUCGGGUAGCCCAAAGUAGUCUCCUGGAAAAGGAAAGCGAGGAAAAGGGCUGGAACUAGUUUCUUUUACACAUAUAAAAAAAUGUCUGAUAAAUUUUCGGCCCUUCAGGCCUUAUCUCUAAGCUUCCUUCCAGCUCUGUAGUCCAAUGACUCUGUGAUCCAUUAUUGGCUGUAGGUAUAUGAUGACGCAGGGGCAAAAGGCAACAGAAGUGCAACUGUACCUCAAAAUGCAUCCAAGAAUAGAGAAGGAUGAACCUGACUCCUCAGAUUUCAUCUUAUUUACUGCCAUCCAACACAUAAGUAUUCCACAGUUUUUUGUAGGUUGCUUCCGUAACUGCCUCUUCCAAACUGCAGUUGUAGCAUAUUCAGGAAACAUGGAUGUCUCUCAGCAAGUUGUGUUUCAUCAUCAUUUUGAGAUCUCAGGCUGAAUCAUCCUGACCCUAUUCAUUAUUUUUUUCUGUGAAGGACAGGAUCUGACUAAAAGUUUAGAAAGUAUGCAUUAGUCACUAUUAUCAUUUCCCCAGGAAAUUCUAUUUCUCUGGAGGCAGGUUACAGAAAACGUUGCUUGUUUUGUGUAAGUUUCAGUGUUUUUCACUUUCAUGGUUUUUCUUCAGUCAAAAAUAAUUUUACUUUCCAUUCUUGAAAGAAUAGUAGUAAGUGAUUAAGCUCUAUAGGAGUUGGCCACCUGUUCUUAAAAUUCUGUUUGGUUUUGGUCAUUCUAGGUCAAUUGCAUAUACCCUCUCAAUGAAUGUUUCAGGACUAUCAACACAUGUAUAUCAUGAAGAAACUGCUUGCUUAUGCAAAGCUUAGUGCCCAGGCUCCAGAAUACAGUUAUUUUCUCAGAAGACAGGAGACCAUGAGCGAUGUAGAGAACGGUCCUAGGAACAGGGUGACAGAACCCCAGAAUGUCUGCCUGGAAAUUCAGAGGGUAUCAAGCUGGUGAGCCAUCCAAGCUUCACAGAGUUGGGGGCAGCUGGGGAGUAGAAGGGGAGGAAUUUGCUUAAAGGUGUCAAGUUCCAGGUAUGUUAAGGUUAGAUACAUGUCCUCUGCUCCUACUUAAACCAAACACUUCCACGUCACACCUUGUCCCUGGUUGUCCAGUGGGAGUGAAGUGGCAGAACAGCAGAGUUAAGACCACACCUUGGAUAAGAGCCAACGGGGACUGAAUUCCUUCUGGGACUGUAGGAUUAUCUUUUCAAUGGUAGACCCCACAAAAAGAAAAGUGCACUUCUCCCUGCCUCCCCCAAAGCCCAGGAAAAGCAAAGUAAGUGUCCACAAUGAAAAAAAAAAAUCUAUACAUAUACCCAGAGUUUCUCCUUUUAUUUACAAAGCAGUAAACCAAAUCCCUGUGUGAACAUAUAUAUCUGAUAUACUGUAGUAUUGUGUACGCCGUUUCCCCCUCAAACAGGACUUUAGGUUUGGCCACCUUUUUCUGAUUUAAGCCAAAUAUUAGUUUCAUCUAUGUGAACACAUGAUGGUAACAAACCUAUGUAUCACUUUAAAUUGUUUUCUCCACCUAAAGGAAAUGGUAGAGAGAAAGGAGAAGGGAGAAAUAGAGAUGUAACAAAACCUAUUCCUCCAUCCUUAUCCUCAACCCAUAGCAUACUCAGAGGUCAGUGCCUGAGCCAGUCCCAACAGUAAACUUGGGCUGUUCAAGAAACAUCUCCAUUUAGCUCUCUAUAAGUAAGGAUGGCACCCUCAGUGUGCUUCAGAGGAAACAGUGAAUUCAACCCAAGUGUCCUAAAGGAAAAUGAAGUUACUUGAAAUGCUGAACUUUAAAACAAGGAGUAGCCGAGGUUCAGGCAUGUUCUCACCUGAGCUCGCGGGAACUUUGGGUACUGUGUGAAGUCUGUACACUGGCUUUAGCCACAUAAGAGAAAGCCCAGGUGAGAACCACAGUAGCCACGGGUGAGCUGAGGGGCUUUUGCUGACUGAUUGGAAUCCCAGGAACAGCCAGAGGCAGAAAAGAUCUACCUCUCCCCACUGCAUGUUUGCACAAACCAUGGUAUCUCUUUUCUGAUCCAAAUUUCCAAAGGCUUCUCUGAAAACUACAGAUAACCCUUCCUGUGGACUGUUUUAAAAUAUAUUUAUCUUUAUGUAUCUGAACAACAGCCUAGGUGUGCCUCUUCUCUACAGAUUUUUCUUUCUCACUCACAUACACACAUAAACAUAAAUGCACACAG